RNAcentral lists this ribosomal RNA (447 nucleotides) under Triticum aestivum (bread wheat). Its description in RNAcentral is "partial small subunit ribosomal RNA". The record is from RNAcentral. Lineage: Eukaryota; Viridiplantae; Streptophyta; Magnoliopsida; Poales; Poaceae.
AUGAGUGGUUUUAGAUGGUUUGCCACAUUCAUUGAUUGUCACACUUGUAUGACGUGGAUCUACUUGAUGAAGCAGAAGAGUGAAGUUCUCACAUGCUUCCAGGACUUCCACAAAAUGGUGGCCACUCAAUUUGACAAGAAGGUUCGAAUUCUUCGCUCGGAUAAUGGGACAGAGUAUAUUAAUUAUGUUUUUGAUGCUUAUCUCUCAGAUCAGGGAAUGAUUCAUCAAACCAAUUGUGUUGGGACCCCAACACAAAAUGGAGUUGCCGAACGAAAGAAUAGACACCUCUUGGAGGUUACCAGAUCAUUGAUGUUUCAAAUGAAUAUACCGAAGAAUUUAUGGAGUGAAGCUGUGAUGACAGCAGCCUAUCUGAUAAACCGUAUGCCAUCCAGAGUUUUGGGUAUGAAGUCUCCAUGUGAAAUUCUACUGGGUGAAAGAGAAUUUUAA